UGAAGGCCUUCGGGUUGUAAACCGCUGUCAGAGGGGAGCAAAUGUAUCGGGGCUAUCCCCAGUAUUUGAGCUAUCCUCAGAGGAAGUCCGGGCUAAGUUCGUGCCAGCAGCCGCGGUAAGACGAACCGGACAAACGUUAUUCGGAAUCACUGGGCUUAAAGAGUGCGUAGGCGGCUCGGAAGGUUGGGUGUGAAAGCCCUCGGCUCAACCGAGGAAUUGCGCUCAAAACCGCCAGACUUGAGGGAGGCAGAGGUGAGCGGAACUGAUGGUGGAGCGGUGAAAUGCGUUGAUAUCAUCAGGAACACCAGUGGCGAAGGCGGCUCACUGGGCCUCUUCUGACGCUGAGGCACGAAAGCUAGGGGAGCGAACGGGAUUAGAUACCCCGGUAGUCCUAGCUGUAAACGAUGAGCACUUGGUCGAGGGGACCUCCACAUCCUCUCGGCCGAAGCGAAAGUGAUAAGUAUCCCACCUGGGGAGUACGUUCGCAAGAAUGAAACUCAAAGGAAUUGACGGGGGCCCGCACAAGCGGUGGAGCAUGUGGUUUAAUUCGAUGAUACGCGAGGAACCUUACCAGGGCUUAAAUGCAUUACKACAGGGGUAGAGAUACCCUUUUCUUCGGACGUUUUGCAAGGUGCUGCAUGGUUGUCGUCAGCUCGUGCCGUGAGGUGUCAGGUUAAAGUCCUAUAACGAGCGCAACCCUUGCCGUCAGUUGCCAGCAAG
This 720-nucleotide ribosomal RNA is filed under the name uncultured bacterium. RNAcentral describes it as "bacterial SSU rRNA". It matches the Rfam family "Bacterial small subunit ribosomal RNA", at positions 409 to 1125 of the family's 1533-position model. The record is from RNAcentral.